ACUCUCUUAGUAUAAACAGUACAAUUGACUUCCAAUUAAUAGGUCUCGACAAGCUCGAGAGAGAGUA
RNAcentral lists this transfer RNA (67 nucleotides) under Saguinus bicolor (Brazilian bare-faced tamarin). Its description in RNAcentral is "tRNA-Gly". Lineage: Eukaryota; Metazoa; Chordata; Mammalia; Primates; Cebidae. RNAcentral also lists the same sequence under 1 other name. The record is from RNAcentral.